Octopus sinensis (East Asian common octopus) is the source of this 214-nucleotide long non-coding RNA. RefSeq lists it as uncharacterized. Lineage: Eukaryota; Metazoa; Mollusca; Cephalopoda; Octopoda; Octopodidae. The record is from RefSeq and is a predicted model, not a curated record. The transcript is spliced from 3 exons.
UAUACUCACACACAUAUAUAUAUGAGGUUGUGCUGAAACGCUCCUGGCAUUGGGUAAAAGGAAACACAGGAGGAUCAGUUAAUUAUGAUUUUAAUCAAUAUAUUUCCCUCUCAGAUUCACUCACUUAUUGUAGUGGACCUUUAAUUUUUUUAAGCCCUGUAAAAGAACUUGGAAUAUUGGGCCUCCAUUCAGACCUUUUGCAAUGCCCUUAAAA